AAAAACAUCGCCUCUUGAAUCAUACAUAAGAGGUCUAGCCUGCCCAGUGAACUAAUUCAACGGCCGCGGUAUCCUAACCGUGCGAAGGUAGCGUAAUCACUUGUUCUUUAAAUAAGGACUAGUAUGAAUGGCAUCACGAGGGUUUCACUGUCUCCUUUUUUAGAUCAGUAAAACUAAUCUUCCCGUGAAGAAGCGGGAAUAAUUUUAUAAGACGAGAAGACCCUAUGGAGCUUUAAACAAAAAACACUUGCUGCAUUCUUCCCUAAUAAAAAGCUUAGCAUUCUGAUUUAUUUGUUUUCGAUUGGGGUGAUCACGGAGCAAAAACCAACCUCCAUGUUGAAUAGAACUUUUAUCCUAAGCAAUAACCCACAACUUUAUGCACUAAAAAAUUAACAUGCAUUGACCCAUUAUUAUGAUCAACGAACCAAGUUACCCUAGGGAUAACAGCGCAAUCUGCUUUAAGAGCCCCUAUCGACAAGCAGGUUUACGACCUCGAUGUUGGAUCAGGGUAUCCAAGUGGUGCAGCCGCUACUAAUGGUUCGUUUGUUCAACGAUUAAAACCCUACGUGAUCUGA
Molecule: ribosomal RNA, 575 nt
Filed under: Boana secedens (Barro Branco treefrog)
Lineage: Eukaryota; Metazoa; Chordata; Amphibia; Anura; Hylidae
Description: Hypsiboas secedens (Barro Branco treefrog) partial 16S ribosomal RNA
Rfam family: Bacterial large subunit ribosomal RNA
Source: RNAcentral